GGGUUGUGAGGUUAAGCGACUAAGCGUACACGGUGGAUGCCCUGGCAGUCAGAGGCGAUGAAGGACGUGCUAAUCUGCGAAAAGCGUCGGUAAGGUGAUAUGAACCGUUAUAACCGGCGAUGUCCGAAUGGGGAAACCCAGUGCAAUUCGUUGCACUAUCGUUAACUGAAUACAUAGGUUAACGAGGCGAACCGGGGGAACUGAAACAUCUAAGUACCCCGAGGAAAAGAAAUCAACCGAGAUUCCCCCAGUAGCGGCGAGCGAACGGGGAGCAGCCCAGAGUCUGAAUCAGCUUGUGUGUUAGUGGAACGGUCUGGAAAGUCCGACGGUACAGGGUGAUAGUCCCGUACACCAAAAUGCACAGGCUGUGAACUCGAAGAGUAGGGCGGGACACGUGGUAUCCUGUCUGAAUAUGGGGGGACCAUCCUCCAAGGCUAAAUACUCCUGACUGACCGAUAGUGAACCAGUACCGUGAGGGAAAGGCGAAAAGAACCCCGGCGAGGGGAGUGAAAAAGAACCUGAAACCGUGUACGUACAAGCAGUGGGAGCACCUUCGGGUGUGACUGCGUACCUUUUGUAUAAUGGGUCAGCGACUUAUAUUCUGUAGCAAGGUUAACCGUAUAGGGGAGCCGCAGGGAAACCGAGUCUUAACUGGGCGUUAAGUUGCAGGGUAUAGACCCGAAACCCGGUGAUUCAGCCAUGGGCAGGUUGAAGGUUGGGUAACACUAACUGGAGGACCGAACCGACUAAUGUUGAAAAAUUAGCGGAUGACUUGUGGCUGGGGUGAAAGGCCAAUCAAACCGGGAGAUAGCUGGUUCUCCCCGAAAGCUAUUUAGGUAGCGCCUCGUGAAUUCAUCUUCGGGGGUAGAGCACUGUUUCGGCUAGGGGGUCAUCCCGACUUACCAACCCGAUGCAAACUACGAAUACCGAAGAAUGUUAUCACGGGAGACACACGGCGGGUGCUAACGUCCGUCGUGAAGAGGGAAACAACCCAGACCGCCAGCUAAGGUCCCAAAGUCAUGGUUAAGUGGGAAACGAUGUGGGAAGGCACAGACAGCCAGGAUGUUGGCUUAGAAGCAGCCAUCAUUUAAAGAAAGCGUAAUAGCUCACUGGUCGAGUCGGCCUGCGCGGAAGAUGUAACGGGGCUAAACCAUGCACCGAAGCUGCGGCAGCGACACUAUGUGUUGUUGGGUAGGGGAGCGUUCUGUAAGCCUGCGAAGGUGUGCUGUGAGGCAUGCUGGAGGUAUCAGAAGUGCGAAUGCUGACAUAAGUAACGAUAAAGCGGGUGAAAAGCCCGCUCGCCGGAAGACCAAGGGUUCCUGUCCAACGUUAAUCGGGGCAGGGUGAGUCGACCCCUAAGGCGAGGCCGAAAGGCGUAGUCGAUGGGAAACAGGUUAAUAUUCCUGUACUUGGUGUUACUGCGAAGGGGGGACGGAGAAGGCUAUGUUAGCCGGGCGACGGUUGUCCCGGUUUAAGCAUGUAGGCUGGUUAUCCAGGCAAAUCCGGAUAAUCAAGGCUGAGGUGUGAUGACGAGGCACUACGGUGCUGAAGUAACAAAUGCCCUGCUUCCAGGAAAAGCCUCUAAGCAUCAGGUAACAUCAAAUCGUACCCCAAACCGACACAGGUGGUCAGGUAGAGAAUACCAAGGCGCUUGAGAGAACUCGGGUGAAGGAACUAGGCAAAAUGGUGCCGUAACUUCGGGAGAAGGCACGCUGGUGUGUAGGUGAAGUCCCUGCGGAUGGAGCUGAGACCAGUCGAAGAUACCAGCUGGCUGCAACUGUUUAUUAAAAAAAAACACAGCACUGUGCAAACACGAAAGUGGACGUAUACGGUGUGACGCCUGCCCGGUGCCGGAAGGUUAAUUGAUGGGGUUAUCCGUAAGGAGAAGCUCUUGAUCGAAGCCCCGGUAAACGGCGGCCGUAACUAUAACGGUCCUAAGGUAGCGAAAUUCCUUGUCGGGUAAGUUCCGACCUGCACGAAUGGCGUAAUGAUGGCCAGGCUGUCUCCACCCGAGACUCAGUGAAAUUGAACUCGCUGUGAAGAUGCAGUGUACCCGCGGCAAGACGGAAAGACCCCGUGAACCUUUACUAUAGCUUGACACUGAACAUUGAGCCUUGAUGUGUAGGAUAGGUGGGAGGCUUUGAAGCGUGGACGCCAGUCUGCGUGGAGCCAACCUUGAAAUACCACCCUUUAAUGUUUGAUGUUCUAACGUUGGCCCCUUACCGGGGUUGCGGACAGUGUCUGGUGGGUAGUUUGACUGGGGCGGUCUCCUCCCAAAGCGUAACGGAGGAGCACGAAGGUUAGCUAAUCCUGGUCGGACAUCAGGAGGUUAGUGCAAUGGCAUAAGCUAGCUUGACUGCGAGCGUGACGGCGCGAGCAGGUGCGAAAGCAGGUCAUAGUGAUCCGGUGGUUCUGAAUGGAAGGGCCAUCGCUCAACGGAUAAAAGGUACUCCGGGGAUAACAGGCUGAUACCGCCCAAGAGUUCAUAUCGACGGCGGUGUUUGGCACCUCGAUGUCGGCUCAUCACAUCCCGGGGCUGAAGUAGGUCCCAAAGGGUAUGGCUGUUCGCCAUUUAAAGUGGUACGCGAGCUGGGUUUAGAACGUCGUGAGACAGUUCGGUCCCUAUCUGCCGUGGGCGCUGGAGAAUUGAGGGGGGGGCUGCUCCUAGUACGAGAGGACCGGAGUGGACGCAUCACUGGUGUUCGGGUUGUCAUGCCAAUGGCACUGCCCGGUAGCUAAAUGCGGAAGAGAUAAGUGCUGAAAGCAUCUAAGCACGAAACUUGCCCCGAGAUGAGUUCUCCCUGAGACUUUAAGUCUCCUGAAGGAACGUUGAAGACGACGACGUUGAUAGGCCGGGUGUGUAAGCGCAGCGAUGCGUUGAGCUAACCGGUACUAAUGAACCGUGAGGCUUAACCUUACAACGCCGAAG
Molecule: ribosomal RNA, 2929 nt
Filed under: Klebsiella pneumoniae subsp. pneumoniae
Lineage: Bacteria; Pseudomonadati; Pseudomonadota; Gammaproteobacteria; Enterobacterales; Enterobacteriaceae
Description: 23S ribosomal RNA
Rfam family: Bacterial large subunit ribosomal RNA
Source: RNAcentral